GCGACGCCACGUGAGGGAUGACGGCCUUCGGGUUGUAAACCUCUUCAGCAGGGAAGAAGCGAAAGUGACGGUACCUGCAGAAGAAGCGCCGGCUAACUACGUGCCAGCAGCCGCGGUAAUACGUAGGGCGCAAGCGUUGUCCGGAAUUAUUGGGCGUAAAGAGCUCGUAGGCGGUCUGUCGCGUCUGGUGUGAAAUCCCAUGGCUCAACUGUGGGCUUGCAUCGGGUACGGGCAGACUAGAGUGCUGUAGGGGAGACUGGAAUUCCUGGUGUAGCGGUGGAAUGCGCAGAUAUCAGGAGGAACACCGAUGGCGAAGGCAGGUCUCUGGGCAGUUACUGACGCUGAGGAGCGAAAGCAUGGGGAGCGAACAGGAUUAGAUACCCUGGUAGUCCAUGCCGUAAACGUUGGGCACUAGGUGUGGGGCGGGUUCCACUCGUUCUGUGCCGCAGCUAACGCAUUAAGUGCCCCGCCUGGGGAGUACGGCCGCAAGGCUA
Molecule: ribosomal RNA, 494 nt
Filed under: uncultured Actinomycetes bacterium
Lineage: Bacteria; Bacillati; Actinomycetota; Actinomycetes
Description: bacterial SSU rRNA
Rfam family: Bacterial small subunit ribosomal RNA
Source: RNAcentral